CCCUUAGAUGUUCUGGGCUGCACCCGUGCUACACUGGCAGGUUCAGCGAGCUUCAUGCCCUGAUCUGAAAGGAAUGGGAAAUCUUUUCAAAACCUGCCGUGCUUGGGAUAGAUGUUUGCAAUUAUUCAUCUUCAACGAGGAUUGCCUUGUAAGCGCACGUCAUCAGCGUGCAUUGAAUACGACCCUGUAUUCUGUACACACCGCCCGUCGCUCCUACCGAUUGAAGUUUUCGGUGAGUUGACAGGAGGAUUUUUUUGAAACUGGUUCGCCAGUGGAUUUUAGAUCCAAAUGCCAACGAAUCGAUGGCUUUAGAGGAAGGAGAAGUCGUAACA
Molecule: ribosomal RNA, 332 nt
Filed under: uncultured eukaryote
Lineage: Eukaryota
Description: partial 18S ribosomal RNA
Rfam family: Eukaryotic small subunit ribosomal RNA
Source: RNAcentral